GGCUCAGGAUGAACGCUAGCGGCAGGCUUAAUACAUGCAAGUCGUGGGGCAGCAUGAGUAGCAAUACUUGAUGGCGACCGGCAAACGGGUGAGGAACACGUACACAACCUUCCUUCAAGCGGGGAAUAGCCCAGAGAAAUUUGGAUUAAUACCCAUAAUAUAUUUGAUAAGGCAUCUUAUUAAUAUUAAAGCUUCGGCACUUGAUGAUGGGUGUGCGGCUGAUUAGAUAGUUGGCGGGGUAACGGCCCACCAAGUCUACGAUCAGUAGCUGAUGUGAGAGCAUGAUCAGCCACACGGGCACUGAGACACGGGCCCGACUCCUACGGGAGGCAGCAGUAAGGAAUAUUGGACAAUGGACGAAAGUCUGAUCCAGCCAUGCCGCGUGAAGGAUUAAGGUCCUCUGGAUUGUAAACUUCUUUUAUAUGGGACGAAAAAAGGGCAUUCUUGUUCACUUGACGGUACCAUAUGAAUAGGCACCGGCUAACUCCGUG
RNAcentral lists this ribosomal RNA (491 nucleotides) under uncultured bacterium. Its description in RNAcentral is "bacterial SSU rRNA". It matches the Rfam family "Bacterial small subunit ribosomal RNA", at positions 21 to 507 of the family's 1533-position model. The record is from RNAcentral.